RNAcentral lists this small RNA (67 nucleotides) under Lysinibacillus xylanilyticus. RNAcentral describes it as "Bacillaceae-1 RNA". It matches the Rfam family "Bacillaceae-1 RNA". The record is from RNAcentral. Lineage: Bacteria; Bacillati; Bacillota; Bacilli; Caryophanales; Bacillaceae.
AAUAGAUGAACUCAGUCUAAGAACGCCACAGCCUGUGGUAACGACUGAGUGACCAACAUCGUGUUGG